CCUGAACGCUGGCGGCGUGGCUAAGACAUGCAAGUCGCACGGGCCCGCAAGGGUCAGUGGCGAACGGGAGAGUAAUGAAUCGCUAACGUACCCCGGACUCCGGGAUAGCCGUCCGAAAGGGCGGGUAAUACCGGAUGACAUAUUCCCUUGGCAUCUUGGGAAUCUCAAAGGUCCACUAGCAAUAGUGGAUGGUUUGGGAGCGGGCGAUUUCGUAUCAGCUAGUUGGUGGGGUAACGGCCCACCAAGGCGACGACGCGUAGCCGGACUGAGAGGUUGGCCGGCCUCAUUGGGACUGAGACACUGCCCAGACUCCUACGGGGGGCUGCAGUAACGAAUCUUCCGCAAUGCACGAAAGUGUGACGGAGCGACGCCGCGUGUGGGACGAAGCCCUUCGGGGUGUAAACCACUGUCAGGGGUUACCAAGAACUGAGGAGCCCCAGAGGAAGGCACGGCUAACUCUGUGCCGGCAGCCGCGGUAAGACAGAGGUGCCAAGCGUUAGGCGGAAUCACUGGGCUUAAAGCGUGUGUAGGCGGACGUUUAAGUACCUUGUGAAAUCCCACGGCUCAACCGUGGAACUGCUGGGUAUACUGGGCGUCUUGAGCCACUUAGGGGUCGUCGGAACAAACGGUGGAGCGGUGAAAUGCGUAGAUAUCGUUUGGAACGCCAAUGGUGAAAACAGACGACUGGGAGUGUGCUGACGCUGANGCACGAAAGCCAGGGGAGCGAACGGGAUUAGAUACCCCGGUAGUCCUGGCCCUAAACGAUGUC
Molecule: ribosomal RNA, 769 nt
Filed under: uncultured bacterium
Lineage: Bacteria
Description: bacterial SSU rRNA
Rfam family: Bacterial small subunit ribosomal RNA
Source: RNAcentral